RNAcentral lists this ribosomal RNA (875 nucleotides) under uncultured Oscillatoriales cyanobacterium. RNAcentral's name for it is "bacterial SSU rRNA". It matches the Rfam family "Bacterial small subunit ribosomal RNA", at positions 19 to 937 of the family's 1533-position model. The record is from RNAcentral. Lineage: Bacteria; Bacillati; Cyanobacteriota; Cyanophyceae; Oscillatoriales.
CUGGCUCAGGAUGAACGCUGGCGGUCUGCUUAACACAUGCAAGUCGAACGGGGGUCUUCGGACCCUAGUGGCGGACGGGUGAGUAACGCGUGAGAAUCUGCCCUCAGGACGGGGACAACAGCUGGAAACGGCUGCUAAUACCCGAUGUGCCGAGAGGUGAAAUGUAAUUCGCCUGAGGAUGAGCUCGCGUCUGAUUAGCUAGUUGGUAGGGUAAGAGCCUACCAAGGCGACGAUCAGUAGCUGGUCUGAGAGGAUGAUCAGCCACACUGGGACUGAGACACGGCCCAGACUCCUACGGGAGGCAGCAGUGGGGAAUUUUCCGCAAUGGGCGCAAGCCUGACGGAGCAAGACCGCGUGCGGGAUGAAGGUCUGUGGACUGUAAACCGCUUUUGAUAGGGAAGAACACAAUGACGGUACCUAUCGAAUCAGCCUCGGCUAACUCCGUGCCAGCAGCCGCGGUAAUACGGAGGAGGCAAGCGUUAUCCGGAAUUAUUGGGCGUAAAGCGUCCGUAGGUGGUGAUGCAAGUCUAUUGUCAAAGCAUGAGGCUUAACCUCAUACCGGCAGUGGAAACUGCAUUGCUAGAGUGCGAUAGGGGCAAGGGGAAUUCCCAGUGUAGCGGUGAAAUGCGUAGAUAUUGGGAAGAACAUCGGUGGCGAAAGCGCCUUGCUGGGUCUGCACUGACACUGAGGGACGAAAGCUAGGGGAGCGAAAGGGAUUAGAUACCCCUGUAGUCCUAGCCGUAAACGAUGGAUACUAGGCGUUGUCCGUAUCGACCCGGGCAGUGCCGUAGCUAACGCGUUAAGUAUCCCGCCUGGGGAGUACGCUCGCAAGAGUGAAACUCAAAUGAAUUGACGGGGCAAAUGAAUUGACGGGG